Long non-coding RNA from Mercenaria mercenaria, 867 nucleotides. RefSeq lists it as uncharacterized. Lineage: Eukaryota; Metazoa; Mollusca; Bivalvia; Venerida; Veneridae. The record is from RefSeq and is a predicted model, not a curated record. The transcript is spliced from 3 exons.
CAGAGAUGACACUUAGGUCAUGGCUUUGGCUAGAAAAAGGAGAGUGGUUCAAAACACAAAGAAGAUGGGUUUCCUCUCAAAAUUAUUAUAAGAAGAAUUAUGAAAUUCACACAUUACAAGUUGAUAUGGUCUUUUCAAACCAUGCCAAAUCAAUCAACGCCAGUUGCUUGGAAGAAGAGUUAGUAGCCUUGGAAGUUUGAAGAUAGGACAACAUUCAGGACAUGUACAGGACCCCCGUCUAAAUGUCGAGGUCAUAGUGAGGAACUUCAUAGUUUGCUCUUUGUCACAAAAGUUUGUGCAUCAAACAGCCUUCUAACAACAAAUGCUGAUUAUGAAAAGAAUCGCUGUACUAGAUGCUGCCUACAAGACUUCAAGGUAUGAUGUACAGUGACUUCAGCUAUGUGUGUUUACCAGUUGUGGAUGAGAACAACAGAUUUGUCUAUUCUUCAAUACUUGAGCUAGAAAUAAGUAAGAACACUGUAGGUACUUUUUAAGCAAAGUUUUAUGGAAGAAGAGUUUUACCAUUGUUAUACCUUUACAUAUGCUUUACAGGCAGUUUAUCCUGCAGUCUUUUAUGUUAAGCUCACCUGAACACAAAGUGCACAAGGUCAGCUAUUGUGAUCCUCCUGUGUUCGGCUUCUGGCAUGAUAUGUGGUCCAGUGUCAACAAUUUGAGUGUUAACACUCUUAAGAGGUCACAAAUUUGGCAAAAUCUUAAUGAAACUUCGUCAGAAUUUUACCUUCGAUAAAAUCUUGUAUAAUUUCAUAGUCAUCUUGGUCAAAUACUAGGUCACUGGGCCAAUAAUAGUAAAAAGCUUAAUACUCUAGAGGCCAUAUUUUCUACCUUGUCAAAUAAUAUAAAAGUCUU